Long non-coding RNA from Oncorhynchus tshawytscha (Chinook salmon), 616 nucleotides. NCBI's taxonomy places the organism in Eukaryota, Metazoa, Chordata, Actinopteri, Salmoniformes, Salmonidae. The record is from Ensembl.
GGAGAAGUGUAAUGGUCUGGUGUGUGUAUAGGUGUGUGUUGGCCUGUAGGGAGAUGUGUAAUGGUCUGGUGUGUGUAUAGGUGUGUGUUGGUCUGGUGUGUGUAUAGGUGUGUGCUGAUCUGGUGUGUGUAUAGGUGUGUGUUGGCCUGGUGUGUGUAUAGGUGUGUGUUGGCCUGGUGAGUGUAUAGGUGUGUGUUGGCCUGUACUGAUGUGUCUGUUGGCCUGGUGUGUGUAUAGGUGUGUGUUGGCCUGGUUUGUGUAUAGGUGUGUGUUGGCCUGUAGUGACGUGUCUGUUGGCCUGGUGAGUGUAUAGGUGUGUGUUGGCCUGGUGAGUGUAUUGGUGUGUGUUGGCCUGGUGAGUGUAUAGGUAUGUGUUGGCCUGGUGUGUGUAUAGGUGUGUGUUGGCCUGGUGAGUGUAUAGGUGUGUGUUGGCCUGUAGUGACGUGUCUGUUGGCCUGGUGAGUGUAUAGGUGUGUGUUGGCCUGGUGAGUGUAUAGGUGUGUGUUGGCCUGGUGAGUGUUUGGACUGAAGUGUAUAUUCCCUGCUCAGUUAGAGCCCAGGAAGCACCAGAGAUCAUGCAGGUGUGGACAGGUAGGAAUGAGGCAGUAUACAACAG